This 97-nucleotide non-coding RNA is filed under the name Parasporobacterium paucivorans. RNAcentral's name for it is "SAM-I sequence". It matches the Rfam family "SAM riboswitch aptamer (S box leader)". From Rfam's summary of the family: The SAM riboswitch is found upstream of a number of genes which code for proteins involved in methionine or cysteine biosynthesis in Gram-positive bacteria. The record is from RNAcentral. RNAcentral also lists the same sequence under 1 other name. Lineage: Bacteria; Bacillati; Bacillota; Clostridia; Lachnospirales; Lachnospiraceae.
CUCUUAUUCAGAGUGAUGGAGAUACAAGGAUCUACGAAGUCACGGCAACCCCUUAACAGGAAGGUGCCAACCUGAGCGAGCAAUCGAUCAAUAAGAG